RNAcentral lists this ribosomal RNA (255 nucleotides) under uncultured bacterium. RNAcentral describes it as "partial 16S ribosomal RNA". It matches the Rfam family "Bacterial small subunit ribosomal RNA", at positions 524 to 776 of the family's 1533-position model. The record is from RNAcentral.
UACAGAGGUGGCAAGCGUUGUUCGGAAUUACUGGGCGUAAAGGGCGCGUAGGCGGCCUUCUAAGUCAGACGUGAAAUCCCCCGGCUUAACCUGGGAACUGCGUCUGAUACUGGAGGGCUUGAGUAUGGGAGAGGGAUGUAGAAUUCCAGGUGAUAGCGGUGAAAUGCGUAGAUAUCUGGAGGAAUACCGGUGGCGAAGGCGGCAUCCUGGACCAUUACUGACGCUGGAGGCGCGAAAGCUAGGGGAGCAAACGGG